This 253-nucleotide ribosomal RNA is filed under the name uncultured bacterium. RNAcentral describes it as "partial 16S ribosomal RNA". It matches the Rfam family "Bacterial small subunit ribosomal RNA", at positions 524 to 776 of the family's 1533-position model. The record is from RNAcentral.
UACGUAGGGAGCAAGCGUUGUCCGGAAUCAUUGGGCGUAAAGCGCGCGUAGGUGGCUUCGUAAGUCCGUUGUGAAAGUCAAAGGCUCAACCUUUGAAAGCCGAUGGAUACUGCGGAGCUAGAGUACGGAAGAGGCGAGUGGAAUUCCUGGUGUAGCGGUGGAAUGCGCAGAUAUCAGGAGGAACACCAAUAGCGAAGGCAGCUCGCUGGGACGGUACUGACGCUGAGAAGCGAAAGCAUGGGGAGCGAACAGG